AGCAGCCGCGGUAAUUCCAGCUCCAAUAGCGUAUAUUAAAGUUGUUGCAGUUAAAAGCUCGUAGUUGAAUUUCGGGAUUCUUCCGUUGGUCGGGCCAUCCAGUCUGUACUAGCGUGUAGAAUUCCUACCUUCUGGGGAACCAUCAUGUUAUUAAUUUAGCGUGGUGGGAAACCAGGACCUUUACCUUGAAAAAAUUAGAGUGUUCAAAGCAGGCUUACGUCUGAAUACAUUAGCAUGGAAUAAUAGAAUAGGACGGUGGUCCUGUUUUGUUGGUUUCUGAAUCACCGUAAUGAUUAAUAGGGAUAGUUGGGGGCAUUGGUAUUCAAUUGUCAGAGGUGAAAUUCUUGGAUUUAUUGAAGACUAACUUCUGCGAAAGCAUUUGCCAAGGAUGUUUUCAUUAAUCAAGAACGAAAGUUAGGGGAUCGAAGACGAUCAGAUACCGUGUAGUCUUAACCAUAAACUAUGCCGACUAGGGAUCGGACGAUGUUAAAUUUAUUGACUCGUUCGGCGCCUUACGGGA
Molecule: ribosomal RNA, 520 nt
Filed under: uncultured Glomeromycotina
Lineage: Eukaryota; Fungi; Glomeromycota
Description: SSU rRNA
Rfam family: Eukaryotic small subunit ribosomal RNA
Source: RNAcentral